This 933-nucleotide ribosomal RNA is filed under the name uncultured bacterium. Its description in RNAcentral is "bacterial SSU rRNA". It matches the Rfam family "Bacterial small subunit ribosomal RNA", at positions 8 to 936 of the family's 1533-position model. The record is from RNAcentral.
AGAGUUUGAUCCUGGCUCAGAUUGAACGCUGGCGGCAGGCCUAACACAUGCAAGUCGAGCGGCAGCGGGUCCUUCGGGAUGCCGGCGAGCGGCGGACGGGUGAGUAAUGCCUAGGAAUCUGCCUGGUAGUGGGGGAUAACUCGGGGAAACUCGAGCUAAUACCGCAUACGUCCUACGGGAGAAAGUGGGGGAUCUUCGGACCUCACGCUAUCAGAUGAGCCUAGGUCGGAUUAGCUAGUUGGUGAGGUAAAGGCUCACCAAGGCGACGAUCCGUAACUGGUCUGAGAGGAUGAUCAGUCACACUGGAACUGAGACACGGUCCAGACUCCUACGGGAGGCAGCAGUGGGGAAUAUUGGACAAUGGGCGAAAGCCUGAUCCAGCCAUGCCGCGUGUGUGAAGAAGGUCUUCGGAUUGUAAAGCACUUUAAGUUGGGAGGAAGGGCAGUAAGUUAAUACCUUGCUGUUUUGACGUUACCAACAGAAUAAGCACCGGCUAACUUCGUGCCAGCAGCCGCGGUAAUACGAAGGGUGCAAGCGUUAAUCGGAAUUACUGGGCGUAAAGCGCGCGUAGGUGGUUCAGCAAGUUGGAGGUGAAAUCCCCGGGCUCAACCUGGGAACUGCCUCCAAAACUACUGGGCUAGAGUAUGGUAGAGGGUGGUGGAAUUUCCUGUGUAGCGGUGAAAUGCGUAGAUAUAGGAAGGAACACCAGUGGCGAAGGCGACCACCUGGACUAAUACUGACACUGAGGUGCGAAAGCGUGGGGAGCAAACAGGAUUAGAUACCCUGGUAGUCCACGCCGUAAACGAUGUCGACUAGCCGUUGGGAUCCUUGAGAUCUUAGUGGCGCAGCUAACGCGAUAAGUCGACCGCCUGGGGAGUACGGCCGCAAGGUUAAAACUCAAAUGAAUUGACGGGGGCCCGCACAAGCGGUGGA